This 422-nucleotide ribosomal RNA is filed under the name uncultured archaeon. Its description in RNAcentral is "bacterial SSU rRNA". It matches the Rfam family "Archaeal small subunit ribosomal RNA", at positions 322 to 746 of the family's 1478-position model. The record is from RNAcentral.
CCUACGGGUGGCACCAGUUGCGAAAACUUCACACUGUGGGAAACCACGAUGAGGGGAUUCCAAGUGCCAGCACUAAGUGUUGGCUUUUCACCUGUGUAAAGAGCAGGUGGAAUAAGGGCCGGGUAAGACGGGUGCCAGCCGCCGCGGUAACACCCGCGGCCCGAGUGGUGACCAUUUUUAUUGAGCUUAAAGCGUCCGUAGCCGGUCUGGUAAAUCUCUGGGUAAAUCGAACGGCUCAACCGUUCGAAUACCAGGGAGACUGCUAGACUUGGGGCCGGGAGAGGUCAGAGGUACUCCUGGGGUAGAAGUAAAAUUCUGUAAUCCUAGGAGGACCACCAGUGGCGAAAGCGUCUGACUAGAACGGACCCGACGGUGAGGGACGAAGCCCUGGGGCGCGAACCGGAUUAGAUACCCUUGUAGUC